Molecule: long non-coding RNA, 26619 nt
Filed under: Zea mays
Lineage: Eukaryota; Viridiplantae; Streptophyta; Magnoliopsida; Poales; Poaceae
Description: long non-coding RNA (ZMAY_LNC000853)
Source: RNAcentral
GACGGGAUUGUCGGCCAUUUUGAUUGCACUCUCAUUAUCACAUAGCAAAGGGACUUUGGUUAAUUUGUAACCGUAGUCCCGCAGGGUUUGCCUCAUCCAAAGCAAUUGCGCGCAACAAUGUCCUGCGGCAAUGUACUCGGCUUCGGCGGUGGAAAGAGCGACCGAAUUUUGCUUCUUUGAAGCCCAAGACACCAAGGACCUUCCCAAGAACUGGCAAGUCCCUGAUGUGCUCUUCCUAUUAAUUUUGCACCCCGCCCAAUCGGCAUCCGAAUAACCAAUUAAAUCAAAUGUGGAUCCCCGAGGGUACCAAAGCCCAAACUUAGGAGUAUAAGCCAAAUAUCUCAAGAUUCGUUUUACGGCCGUAAGGUGGGAUUCCUUAGGGUCGGAUUGGAAUCUUGCACACAUGCAAACGGAAAGCAUAAUGUCCGGUCGAGAUGCACAUAAAUAAAGCAAUGAACCAAUCAUCGACCGGUAUACCUUUUGAUCCACGGACUUACCUCCCGUGUCGAGGUCGAGAUGCCCAUUAGUUCCCAUGGGUGUCUUGAUGGGUUUGGCAUCCUUCAUCCCAAACUUAGCAAGAAUGUCUUGAGUGUACUUCGUUUGGCUAAUGAAGGUGCCCUCUCGGAGUUGCUUGAUUUGGAAUCCUAGAAAAUAUUUCAACUCCCCCAUCAUCGACAUCUCGAAUUUCUGUGUCAUGAUCCUACUAAACUCUUCACAUGUAGACUCGUUAGUAGACCCAAAUAUAAUAUCAUCAACAUAAAUUUGGCAUACAAACAAGUCAUUUUCAAGAGUUUUAGUAAAGAGUGUAGGAUCGGCCUUGCCGACUUUGAAGCCAUUUGCAAUAAGGAAAUCUCUAAGGCAUUCAUACCAUGCUCUUGGGGCUUGCUUGAGCCCAUAAAGCGCCUUAGAGAGCCUAUAAACAUGGUUAGGAUACUCACUGUCUUCAAAGCCGGGAGGUUGCUCAACAUAGACCUCUUCCUUGAUUGGUCCAUUGAGGAAGGCACUCUUCACGUCCAUUUGAUAAAGCUUGAAGCCAUGGUAAGUAGCAUAGGCCAAUAAUAUGCGAAUUGACUCAAGCCUAGCUACGGGUGCAUAGGUUUCACCGAAAUCCAAACCUUCGACUUGUGAAUACCCUUUGGCUACGAGUCGAGCUUUGUUCCUUGUCACCACACCAUGCUCAUCUUGCUUGUUGCGGAAGACCCAUUUGGUUCCUACAACAUUUUGGUUAGGACGUGGAACUAAAUGCCAGACCUCAUUCCUCGUGAAGUUGUUGAGCUCUUCUUGCAUCGCCACCACCCAAUCCGAAUCUUGGAGAGCUUCCUCUACCCUGUGUGGCUCAAUAGAGGAAACAAAAGAGUAAUGUUCACAAAAAUGAGCAACCCGAGAUCGAGUAGUUACCCCCUUAUGAAUGUCGCCGAGGAUGGUGUCGACGGGGUGAUCUCGUUGGAUUGCUUGGUGGACUCUUGGGUGUGGCGGUCUUGGUUCUUCCUCAUCCUCCUUUUCUUGAUCAUUUGUAUCUCCCCCUUGAUCAUUGCUAUCAUCUUGAGGUGGCUCGUCUUCUUGAUUUUGCUCUUCAUCAUUUUGAGCCUCAUCCUCAUUUUGAGUUGGUGGAGAUGCUUGCAUGGAGGAGGAUGGUUGAUCUUGUGUACUUGGAGGCUCUUCGGAUUCCUUAGGACACACAUCCCCGAUGGACAUGUUCCUUAGCGCGAUGCAUGGAGCCUGUUCAUCACCUAUCUCAUCAAGAUCAACUUGCUCUACUUGAGAGCCGUUAGUUUCAUCAAACACAACGUCACAAGAGACUUCAACUAGUCCAGUGGACUUGUUAAAGACCCUAUAUGCCCUUGUGUUUGAGUCAUAACCAAGUAAAAAGCCUUCUACAGUUUUAGGAGCAAAUUUAGAUUUUCUACCUCUUUUAAUAAGAAUGAAGCAUUUGCUACCAAAAACUCUAAAAUAUGAAAUGUUGGGCUUUUUACCGGUUAGGAGUUCAUAUGAUGUCUUCUUGAGGAUUCGGUGAAGAUAUAACCGGUUGAUGGCGUAGCAGGCGGUGUUGACCGCUUCGGCCCAAAACCGGUCCGGUGUCUUGUACUCAUCAAGCAUGGUUCUUGCCAUGUCCAAUAGAGUUCGAUUCUUCCUCUCCACUACACCAUUUUGUUGUGGCGUGUAGGGAGAAGAGAACUCAUGCUUGAUGCCCUCCUCCUCAAGGAAGCUUUCAAUUUGAGAGUUCUUGAACUCCGUCCCAUUGUCGCUUCUUAUUUUCUUGAUCCUUAAGCCGAACUCAUUUUGAGCUCGUCUCAAGAAUCCCUUUAAGGUCUCUUGGGUUUGAGAUUUUUCCUGUAAAAAGAAUACCCAAGUGAAGCGAGAAUAAUCAUCCACAAUAACUAGACAGUACUUACUCCCGCCGAUGCUUAUGUAAGCGAUCGGGCCGAAUAGAUCCAUGUGUAGGAGCUCCAGUGGCCUGUCAGUCGUCAUUAUGUUCUUGUGUGGAUGAUGAGUGCCAACUUGCUUCCCUGCUUGGCAUGCGCUACAAAUCCUGUCUUUCUCAAAAUGAACAUUGGUUAGUCCUAAAAUGUGCUCUCCCUUUAGAAGCUUAUGAAGAUUCUUCAUCCCAACAUGGGCUAGUCGGCGGUGCCAGAGCCAACCCAUGUUAGUCUUAGCAAUUAAACAUGUGUCGAGCUCAGCUCUAUCAAAAUCUACUAAGUAUAGCUGACCCUCUAACACACCCUUAAAUGCUAUUGAAUCAUCACUUCUUCUAAAGACAGUGACACCUAUAUCAGUAAAAAGACAGUUGUAGCCCAUUUGACAUAAUUGGGAAACAGAAAGCAAGUUGUAAUCUAAUGAAUCAACAAGAAAAACAUUGGAAAUGGAAUGGUCAGGUGAAAUAGCAAUUUUACCCAAACCUUUGACCAACCCUUGAUUUCCAUCCCCAAAUGUGAUAGCUCGUUGGGGAUCUUUGUUUUUCUCAUAUGAGGAGAACAUCCUUUUCUCCCCGGUCAUGUGGUUUGUGCACCCGCUGUCGAGUAUCCAACUUGAGCCCCCGGAUGCAUAAACCUACAAAACAAAUUUAGUUCUUGACUUUAGGUACCCAAACUGUUUUGGGUCCUUUGGCAUUAGAUACAAGAACUUUGGGUACCCAAACACAAGUCUUGGAGCCCUUGUGUUUGCCCCCAACAAAUUUGGCAACUACUUUGCCGGAUUUGCUAGUAAGCACAUAAGACGCAUCAAAAGUUUUAAAUGAAAUGGCAUGAUCAUUUGAUGCAUUAGGAAUUUUCUUCUUAGGCAACUUGGCACGGGUUGGUUGCCUAGAACUAGAUGUCUCACCCUUAUACAUGAAAGCAUGGUUAGGGCCAGAGUGAGACUUCCUAGAAUGAAUCUUCCUAAUUUUGCUCUCAGGAUAGCCUGCAGGGUAUAAAAUGUAACCCUCGUUAUCCUGAGGCAUGGGAGCUUUGCCCUUAACAAAGUUAGACAAGUUCUUAGGAGGGGCAUUAAGUUUGACAUUGUCUCCCUUUUGGAAGCCAAUGCCAUCCUUGAUGCCAGGGCGUCUCCCAUUAUAGAGCAUGUUUCUAGCCAAUUUAAAUUUUUCAUUUUCUAAGUCAUGCUCUCUAAUCUUAGCAUUUAGUUGAGCUAUGUGAUCAUUUUGUUUAUUAAUUAAGGCUAGGUGAUCAUGGAUAGCAUCAACAUUAAUAUCUCUACAUCUAGUGCAAAUAGAAACAUGCUCAACAUUAGAUGUAGAGGGUGUGCAAGAUUUAAGUUCUACAACCUUAGCAUGCAACAUUUCAUUCUUAGUUCUAAGGUCGGAAAUAGUAGCAUUGCAAACAUCAAAAUUUUUAGCCUUAGUAAUUAAAUUAUCAUUCUCUAAUCUAAGGCUAGCAAGAGAUGCAUUCAAUUCAUCAAUCUUAGCAAGCAAGUCAACGUUAUCAUUUCUAAGAUUGGGAAUUGAAACAUUACAAACAUGUGAAUCAACCUUAGCAUUUAAAAUAGCAUUUUCAUUUCUAAGGUUGUCAAUCAUCUCACGGCAAGUGCUUAGCUCACUAGACAAUUUUUCACAUUUUUCAACCUGUAGAGCGUAAGCAUUUUUAACCUUAACAUGUUUCUUAUUCUCCUUGAUUAGGAAGUCCUCUUGGGAGUCCAAGAGAUCAUCCUUUUCAUGGAUGGCACUAAUUAGUUCAUUUAAUUUUUCCUUUUGUUCCAUGUUAAGGUUAGCAAAAAGAAUGCGCAAGUUAUCCUCCUCAUUUUUAUCAUCAUCCUCAUCACUAGAUGUUUCAUAUUUGGUGGAGGACCUUGAUUUUACCUUCUUUUUGCCGUCCUUGGCCAUGAGACACUUGUGGCCGACGUUGGGGAAGAGAAGGCCCUUGGUGACGGCGAUGUUGGCGGCGUCCUCGUCGUCGGAGGAGUCGCUUGAGCUUUCGUCGGAGUCCCACUCCCGACAAACAUGGGCAUCGCCGCCCUUCUUCUUGUAGUAUUUCUUCUUCUCCUUUCUUCUUCCCUUCUUGUCGUCGCCCCUGUCACUGUCACUAGACAUAGGACAUUUUGCAAUGAAGUGACCGGGCUUACCACACUUGUAGCAAACCUUCUUGGAACGAGGUUUGUAGUCCUUCCCCUUCCGUUGCUUGAGGAUUUGCCUAAAGCUUUUGAUGAUUAGGGCCAUCUCCUCAUUGUCGAGCUUGGAGGCGUCAAUUGGUUGUCUACUUGGUGUAGAUUCCUCCUUCUUCUCCUCCGUUGCCUUAAAGGCCACUGGUUGCGCCUCGGAGGUGGAAGGCUCGUCAAGCUCGUUGAUCUUCUUGGAGCCCUUAAUCAUGCAUUCAAAACUCACAAAAUUCCCGAUAACUUCCUCGGGGGUCAUUAGUGGAUAUCUAGGAUUCCCACGAAUUAAUUGUACUUGAGUGGGGUUAAGGAAAAUAAGAGCUCUUAGAAUAACCUUAACCACUUCGUGGUCAUCCCAUUUUGUGCUCCCGAGGUUGCGCACUUGGUUCACCAAGGUCUUGAGCCGGUUGUACAUGUCUUGUGGCUCCUCCCCUUGGCGAAGACGGAAGCGACCGAGCUCCCCCUCGAUCGUUUCCCGCUUGGUGAUCUUGGUGAGUUCAUCACCCUCGUGCGCCGUCUUGAGUAGGUCCCAAAUCUCCUUGGCGUUCUUCAAUCCUUGUACUUUGUUGUAUUCCUCCUUGCUUAGGGAGGCAAGGAGGAUGGUUGCGGCUUGGGAGUUGAAGUGCUCGAUUUGGGCCACUUCGUCCGUGUCGUAGUCCUCAUCCCCUAUUGAUGGUACCUGUACACCAUACUCAACAACAUCCCAUAUUCUUUUGUGGAGAGAGGUUAGAUGAAAUCGCAUCAAAUUACUCCACAUAGCAUAAUCUUCACCAUUAAAAGUUGGUGGUUUGCCUAAUGGGACGGAAAGUAAAGGUGUAUGUUUAGGAAUGCGAGGGUAACGUAGGGGGAUCUUACUAUACUUCUUGCGCUCUUGGCGCUUAGAAGUGACGGAGGGCGCAUCGGAGUCGGAGGUAGAAGUUGAUGAAGUGUCGGUCUCGUAGUAGACCACCUUCCUCAUCCUCUUGUGCUUGUCGCCUUUCCGAUGCGGCUUGUGGGAAGAAGAUUUUUCCUUCUUCUCUUUGUGGUGAGAAGAAGAUUUCUUCUCCUUCCCUUUGUUUGAGGAGCUCUUCUUCUUCUCCCUCCUUUUGGUGCGGGACUCUUCCGAUGAAGUGCUCCCGUAGCUUGUAGUGGGCUUUUCGCCGGUCUCCAUCUCCUUCUUGGCGUGAUCUCCCGACAUCACUUCGAGCGGUUAGGCUCUAAUGAAGCACCGGGCUUUGAUACCAAUUGAUAGUCGCCUAGAGGGGGGGGUGAAUAGGGCGAAACUGAAAUUUACAAAUAUAAACACAACUACAAGCCGGGGUUAGCGUUAGUAAUAAUAAAUGAGUCCGCAAGAGAGGGCGCAAAACAAAUCGCAAGCAAAUAAGGAGAGUGACACGCGGAUUUGUUUUACCGAGGUUCGGUUCUUGCAAACCUACUCCCCGUUGAGGAGGCCACAAAGGCCGGGUCUCUUUCAACCCUUCCCUCUCUCAAACGGUCCCUCGGACCGAGUGAGCUUUCCUUCUUCUCAAUCAACCGGGAACAAAACUUCCCCGCAAGGGCCACCACACAAUCGGUGCCUCUUGCCUCGGUUACAAUCGAGUGUUGAUCACAAGAGCACAAGAGAAAGAAAGAAUGCGAUCCAAGCGCAAGAGCUCAAAAGAACACGGAAAAUCUCUCUCGCUAGUCACUAAAGGCUUGAGUGGAAUUUGGAGAGGAUUUGAUCUUUUUGUAUGUGUCUAGAAUUGAGUGCCUAGCUCUUGUAAGUGGUUAGAAGUUGGAAAACUUGGAUGGCUAUGAAUGUGGGGUGGUUGGGGUAUUUAUAGCCCCAACCACCAAACUUGACCGUUGGCUGGAGGCUUCUGUUCGAUGGCGCACCGGACAGUCCGGUGCACACCGGACAGUCCGGUGCCCCUGCCACGUCACCACUGCCGUUGGAUUCUAGUCGUUGGAGCUUCUGACUUGUGGGCCCGCCUGGGUGUCCGGUGCACACCGGACAUGCACUGUUUGAUGUCCGGUGCACCGGUAUGGGCAGCCCUGACGUCUGCGCGCGCUGCGCGCGCAUUUAAUGCUGCGCAGAGAGCCGUUGGCGCCGCAGAGAGCCGUUGCUCCGCUGGUACACCGGACAGUCCGGUGCACACCGGACAGUCCGGUGAAUUAUAGCGGAGCGGCUGUCGCGCGAACCCGAGGCUGGCGAGUUCCGGAGGCCGAGCUUCCUUGGAGCACCGGACAUGUCCGGUGCACACCGGACAGUCCGGUGAAUUAUAGCGCGUCGGCUUCCGAGAAUUCCCGAGAGAGAAGGGUUUGAGUCUGAGUCCCCUGGUGCACCGGACAGGUACUGUGCACUGUCCGGUGGCACACCGGACAGUCCGGUGCGCCAGACCAGGGGUGCCCUCGGUUGCCCCUUUGCUCCUUUAUUGAAUCCAACACUUGAUCUUUUUAUUGGCUAGAUGUGAACCUUUUGCACCUGUAUAACUUAUACACUAGAGCAAACUAGUCAGUCCAAUAUUUGUGUUGGGCAAUUCAACCUCCAAAAUUAUUUAGGAACUAGGUGUAAGCCUAAUUCCCUUUCAACAUUGAUCAAGGGGGAGAUGAAGAUGAUCAAGAAAAGAAAGAUGAUCAAGAGAUUCAAGAUCAAAGACCACCACACCCAAGAGUCCACCAAACAAUUCAAAGAGAUCACCCCAUCAACUCCAUCCUUGGUGAUAUCCACAAUGGGGUAAUCACUCGAUCUUGAGUUGCACAUUUUUGUGAACAUUACUCUUUUGUGUCUUCUAUUGAGCCAUGCAGGAUAGAGGAUGCUGUCACACCCCGGAUUUAAGGGAUAAAGCCGGGCACGUCUCAUAUGUGCGCCAAAGAAAAACAACACAUAUAAUAAUAGAGUGUAUAGAGAUAAAUGUCAUAAUAUCAUAAAAGUAUUUAUUACAUAGCGGAAGUUUUACAAAAAUUAAAUAUAAAUAUAAAGUGAACUAAUGUCCAUCCUUGGCGCCAUAAAGUCGACUGGCAGACGCCACCUAGGUCAAGUCGUACUCCUCGUUGUAUGGCUCCUCCUGGACCACCUGCUCUUCUCUUGUGGGGGGGUAUGUAUCGCAAGUGUGAGCUCACAAAAGAUCAUAGCUCAAUAGGUUGUGGGGAAUAAUGUGCAUGAACUCACCAAAGGUGGGAGUUCAUGUGAAGUGUAAGGCUAAUCAACAAUAGGGGUUAAAGCUGAGCAUUGUUUUUAAUAAGUUGGUCAAAUUUUAUUAGCAAUUACUAGAUGUAAGUAAAUACCAUACUAGAAUAGAAAUAAUAGAACAAAUUAAUAGUGAAUCCCAUGCAAUGCAAAUGACAAAUUGAAUUUAGUUCCAUAGUUUAAUCAUGCGAGAGUCCUGAACUGCUCAUGACCGCGAGCACGGCUAGUAUACCAGUUUUACACUCUGCAGAGGUUGUACCCUAUACCCACAAGUCAUGUUACCCAUCUGCCAAGGGGUCAUGAAUCCCAUACACCUCUACCAAGGAGGCGAGGCAGGGUAACACUACGAGGCCUUUACAAAGUUCUACUAGCUUCAGAAAACCCGCUACAGUUUCUAGGAAGAGGAAUGCAAGAAUCCCCCGUCUGACCGCCAUCGCAGCAAAAUCAACCCGAGAACCUCCCUACAUGCCUACUCCCCUACUGCACUUGCCCUUAUCGGGUAAGGUAGUCCUCCACUAGCUUUCCUAGUUAGUCAGCCAAGGGCGUCUCAUUUCACCCUUGUGGUGGCACGUGUUUCUCAAGUUAAGCUCCAUAUUCUAAUUAAAAAUAAUGAUCUUGACAUGAACAUUAAAUAAAUAACAGUAUAAUUGGAACAUGAACAUAAUGUAAUAUUAAACCCAAAACCAUAUAGAGCAAUAGCAAAACUACCUAAAUAAUUCAGGGGUGAACACGGUAAAAAGAUUACAAGACUAGGGUGACCUAUUGGGUCCAUCAAAAUUAAACCUAUGCAUGAAUAAAUGAUUAUAAAGAACAUUAUUGGGUAAUAAAAGUGGUCAAGGGCACAACUUGCCUUCAAAAUACAAACAAGCAUAGUACAAAGGAGAAAUUAACAUCACACCAAACAUGUAUACAAAAUACAUAUUAAUAAUCUACACACUAAAAUGAGAUCAUAGGAAAAAGAAUCACUAAAUUUAGAGUUAUGGAUUUUAAGUUAUGGAUUUCCGAAGGUUCUAUGUAUUUGACAAAAGAUUCAUUAAGAGAUCAAUUUUAAUACAUUUUUCAUGUCAAAACAGAGACAUUAUGUGAUGAACAAUAUUAUUACAAAAUUAUAGGAACUGGAAUGGACUAAAAAGGAGUUAAAACAAAUUUUAUAUGAAUUUUACAAAUUCCUAGAAUUAUUUUUGUAUUAAAAAUCAAUUUCUAUAAUUAAUUCUCUAAUUUCUCUUAUUCCUGGACUGCGCGCCAAUCAAACAGAAACACAGGAGCCACUGUGCAAGAAUUUCCAUACUCGGUACACAGUGGCACUGUGUUGGGGCGAAGGCGAAGACGCCACCCUUCGCUCGAUGCCUUCACCAGCCUCGCUGCACCAAUGAAGACAAGACGACUGGCAGACUUACCCUUCGUCCCACGCGUCGCUGGACGAAGGCCCAUGACGAGGUCGUCCCAUCCCGCGGCGUCGUCCAACAUGGAGGCCCACAUGUGAUCUGGCCCAUUGUAACAGUCCCUGCGCGGCCGCUGCGCAUUACGGGCCUAAUUUGUAAAGGUUUCCCUGUAAUUACAGUCUGUAACCCUGCUUUAUGGGAAUAUUCCGGAGAUAACCUAGGCGCCUGAGGGCACAUACGUCCUUAACUCAGGAUGCUGGGCACUCAGGUACCUAUAAAUACCCCCGCACAGUGCCCUUGUGAGGCUAGAUUAACAGAGCUAUUGCCACCUCGAAUCAAAACCUUGUUUACGUUGCUUUCACUCCCCCGUUGGAUCAACUUGUCCAGGAGAGCAAGUUCCAACACACUGGACUACGGGUUAGUUUCCGAUAAGCUCAGGGGCUAUUUUGCAUAACUACACGGCUAGAUCGAUAUGACGUUCUCUCAACCGCGCGAUCACACGAGGACGGUGCGGAUUAGAUCACUCUCUCCACGAACUGGUACGCAGCCUAGUCCCUUGGAUCAGCGAUCCAAGGCCACCGUUUAUCGUGCGCCCGAUUUGAUCACAAUCGUCCGAUCCCAUCGCCACAACACUAGGGAUGAAAACGGAUGGAAACGGACGGAAAAACCCCUCUCCCGUUUCCGUAUCUAAAUUUUAUCGUCGGAAACGGGAUCGGGCCCGGAAUAGUCGGGAACGGAAACGAGAGCGGGAUAAACGGAAUUGCGAAAACGAACGGAAACGGAAAUACUAACGGAAACUCAUAAUUUAAUACAAAUAUAAAUGUUACUGAUGUUUGACUAGUGAUUUAUUGGUAAAACAAUAACAUAAAACAAAUAGAUAUAAAGAGGCAACAUUCUAUUAUUGUUUGGUUGCUAAAUGUGUACAUUUAGCUACAUCCGAUGUUGUUUUAAGACUUUAAAUCACUUGUCAUUGAAAAGAGCCGGUGGUUAUAAUGGCCAAGUGUGCUAUAAUUUGUAACCUAAAUACACGAGGCUUUAGUUUAUAUACUAAUGUAUAUUAGGCUCGUCCCAUAUUUGUCAAAUUCGGAAAAAAUACGGGUUCAAUCCGGAAAAAAACGGGAUCCCGCAAAAACGGACGGAACAAACCCUCUCCUGUUUCUGUCACGUUUCCAUAUUUUUCCGUAAAUACGGAAACGGUCGGGUCAAAACGGUACGGUUCGGGAUGGGAUUUUAUUCUUCUGUAUUCAACCCUACACGGCACAGAUCCGACCGUGCGAAGGAGGAAACACGAUUAUCUAAUGCUGGUCGUGGAUGCCCGAUCCAACGGCCGACGUCUCUUCCCCAAUCCCCCGCUCACUCGCCGCGCCCAGCACGACGGAGGGCAUUGCCCAUGGCGGCACACCGCCGGAAUUUAGUCGCAAAAGGGGGGCCCGACGAUCAUACCCCGAUUAAAUAGGUUUCCACGUGGCUGGGAACAUGGAGAGGCCAAUAGGGGUAGUUGCACCACGGAUUAUGGCACCAAAUCACCGGCCACGGGAUUUAUGUGGACGACUUAGCCGCGGAGCCACAGCGGCGAGCGCGGAUGCUCAGGAUGCCCCAAACUAACCUCGACUCGUCAUAAUUGAUCGCAGAAAUGAUGCGUAAUGAAUGUAGUAUCGGUGUGGAUUCGUGGAGGCACUGGUCCUCUGGUCGGUGAUUUGCAGGGAAUCAACGCGGGCGUACCACUCCGGUGAAGCCGUCCGCACUCCCACCAAAUUGAUGCACACCACGAACGCCCAAGCCUUGCUAGAUGCCGGUAGCCCUGCGGUGCUGGACGACAGAGAAGAACCGGCCGGUGGCGGCAACAAAUUCUCCGCCCAAGGAGGUAGCGCACGGACGUAUGGUGGGACGCCAAGCACAUGGACAAAGGGAGGCGAGAGAUGAACGGGAUGAGUAGAUAUAGCGCGGGCGACACCCACGACUAGGGAACAGACUUCCCCAGGAUUCACGGCGAGGUCCCGCAAUUACCGGCAAGGUCGUGGCAAGCAGGUGCUGACAUUACGGGUCCACGUGAUAGAGUAACGCGCAGUGCAGAAGCAGCUGGCGCGUGGGGCCAGUGACGCAGCAAUAGCCAGCGCGCGGAAGUGAUAGAGCGGCUGUGGGUGACUGGCGCAUAGGCCUGCAGUGUCGGCGCCGAGUUCUUAAAUUUGGGCUACGCGGAAGGGAUUUGCUAGGUGGGCCAGAUUUAGGUUUCGCGGCCCACAAGUGGUUUCCUCUUUAUCUUUAUCUUUUAUCUUUUCUAAUUUAUUUUCCUUUUCAUUUUCAAAUCUAAAAUUUGAGUUCAAAUUUUGCAGAAAAAUUUGCACUCAAUUUCAAUAUUCAAUCUGAACAUAUCAAUGGGAUGAACUUAUUUAAUUAUGGAUUUAUUUUGUGCUCCAUAGUAUUUCUUCCUUCUUUUCUCUUCUAUAUAUUAUCUCUAAAUUCCUAAAUUAUGUCUUUGGGUUAAAUUCAAAAUUCUCAAAUUACUAUCAUAUUUUAUUAGUGUCACUAUCAUCUUUAUUAAAUGCACAAACAUACUCCAAUAUGAUCCAUGGCUUUUCUUUAUGUGUUUUUAUUAAAGAAUUCUCUUUUGAUUAGGUUUAGUCACAUGUCUCAAGAAAUAGCUAGCAAAUCACAUAAGGAGAUCAAAUCUUUCAUAAGUUUUAUAAUUUGGGUAUUACAGAUGCACUAAGAGAUCGGGGCUGGGUGGUGGCAAUGCAAGAGGAGCUCAACAACUUCACGAGGAAUGAGGUAUGUCAUUUAGUUCCACGUCCUAACCACAAUGUUGUAGGUACCAAGUAGGUAUUCCACAACAAACAAGAUGAGCAUGGUGUGGUGACUAGGAACAAAGCCCUACUUGUUGCUAAAGGAUAUUCACAAGUCGAAGGUUUGGAUUUUGAUGAAACCUAUGCACCCGUAGCUAGGCUUGAGUCGAUUCGUAUAUUACUUGCCUAUGUUACUUACCAUGGCUUUAAGUUGUAUCAAAUGGACGUGAAAAGUGUCUUCCUCAAUGGCCCUAUCAAGGAAGAGGUAUAUGUUGAGCAACUUCCCGGCUUUCAAGAUAGUGAGUAUCCUACACUUGUUUAUAAGCUCUCAAAGGCGCUUUAUGGGCUUAAACAAGCCCCAAGAGCAUGGUAUGAAUGCCUAAGAGACUUUCUUCUCACUAAUGGCUUUAAAAUCGAUAAAGCUGAUCCUACUCUCUCCACUAAAACAAUUGACAAAGACUUGUUUAUAUGCCAAAUUUAUAUUGAUGAUAUUAUCUUUGGGUCUACUAACAAGUCAUCUUGUGAAGAGUUUAGUAGGAUUAUGAUACAGAAAUUCGAGAUGUCUAUGAUGGGGGAGCUGAAGUAUUUCUUUGGAUUCCAAAUCAAGCAACUCCAAGAAGGCACCUUCAUCUACCAAACUAAGUAUAUUUAGGACAUUCUCAAGAAGUUUGGAAUGAAUGAUGCCAAACCCAUCAAGACUCCCAUGGGAACAAAUGGGCAUCGACCUCGACACAAGAGGUAAAUCUGUAGAUCAAAAGGUAUAUCGGUCGAUGAUAGGAUCUCUACUCUAUUUAUGUGCUUCACGACCGGAUAAUAUGCUUUCAGUAUGCAUGUGUGCAAGGUUCCAGGCCAAUCCUAAGGAAGUUCACCUUAGGGCUGUGAAAAGAAUCAUGAGAUAUUUAUUUUACACUCCUAAGUUUGGGCUAUGGUACCCCAAGGGAUCUACCUUUGAUCUAAUUGGGUAUUCUGCUGCCGAUUAUGCCAGAUGUAAAAUUGAUAGAAAUAGCACAUCAGGGACUUAUCAGUUUCUGGGGAGAUCUCUGAUGUCUUGGGCUUCAAAGAAACAAAAUUCAGUAGCUCUAUCCACCGCCGAAGCCAAGUAUGUUGUCGCAGGACAUUGUUGUGCACAAUUACUCUGGAUGAGGCAAACUCUUAGAAACUAUGGCUACAAAUUGCACAAAGUCCAUCUCCUAUGUGAUAAUGAGAGUGCAAUCCGCAUGGCGGAUAAUCCUGUUGAACACAGCCGCACUAAGCACAUAGACAUCCGGUAUCACUUUCUGAGAGAUCACCGACAAAGGGGAGAUAUCGAAAUUGCCUAUGUUAACAACCACAACCAAUUAGUCAAUAUCUUUACCAAGCCCCUAGAUGAAAAGACUUUUAGCAAGCUUAGGAAUGAACUAAAUAUCUUAGGUUCUCGAAACUUUGAUUGAAUUCUUGCACAUAUUGCCCUUUCCAUACCUUUGAUCAUAUCUCUUUCAUUUGGUACAAAUGCGUAUUUCUUAGUUCUUAUGCCAAAGCUAAGACUAAUGUGCUUCCAAGAAUAUUUCUAUGCCUAGUCUUAGAUUGAAAGGGAAAUAGAGUUUAAGGCAAAGGCAAGGCUUCCACUAUGACUGUCGGUAUCAUAUAUCCUUUGCCCUACUCAUGCACUUACUUUCAUAUCUUUAUUGUUAAAGGCCUCUAGUUUUCUUCGUUUUUGGCGCUUAAUGCCAAAGGGGGAGAAAUUAAUAGGCCAAAGCAAAAGGACCGCACCACCACCCUGUUCACCCUGUUUUGUAAAAACGUUUUCAAAAAGAAGGGGAGAAAUUAAAAACAAAAGUAAAAACCCUCUUGACAGCUAAGGGAAGAACCUUUUCAGAGGGGGUUUUUAUUUAGCCAAAGGAAAAGCAUUUAAGAAAGGGGGUGAAUCUUUUAAAACUUUAAAAAAUGCUUUCAAAAUCAUAUGCUUACACUAUUGGCUAAUUGCAAAAGAUUUUAAAAAGACUUUUCCAAAAUAUUUGCAAAAACAAGCUAAGUGGUGAAAAUGUGGUCCAAAAUAUUAAAUAUAUCAAGACAAUCACAUAUGUUUAGAACUGCUUUCAUUUCAAAGUAACUUAUGCACAUAUGACAAAAUGCAAACUAGUUACAUUUCUUCACUUUGUAUUUCAUUUGGUUUGUGUUGGCAUCAAUCACCAAAAAGAGGGAGAUUAAAAGGGAAAUGGCCUAAACAUUUCCUACAAUCGAUUUUGGUGUUUGACGACCAUCACAAACCUUAUGAACUAACUAGUUCGCCUAGUUAAUAUUUUUCUUAGUUGCAUAAAGUUCAUAUACACAUACAAAGAAAAUAACCUCGGGGCAAUUCUACAAGAUUGGAGCAAAACAGACGUGCUGAAGCCAGUGGCGCACCAGAGUGUCUGGUGCCCUGGCUAGAGCACUCCACGAACUGGCCGCUCUCGGGUUUUCUCGGCGCUCGUCCGCUAAAAAUCACCGGACUGUCCGGGGAACCCUCGGAGCAACAGUCGACUGCGGGACUGUGCCCGCAGUCUACAGUGCUAGAAGUCAGAAGACAGUCUGCGACGACAGGUCGCACCGUACUGUCUGGUGCACCAUAAGGACAGAAGACUUCAACGGUCAGCAACUCAAAACCCCAAUGGUCGACUGACGUGACAUGCACCGGACAGUGAACAGUGGAGUGUCCGGUGCACCACCGGACUGUCCGGUGUGCCCAUCGAGAGAGCAGUCAGCCAACGACUAGAAUAGUGGUUGCGGCUAUAAAUACCCCUCCAACCACCACCAUUCAAGCCAUCCAAGCAUCCCACUCUCCUCAUUCAAUACAAGAGCAAAGAAUACACUCUAAAGACACAUUCAAAGCCUCGAAUCCUCUCCAAGUGCCAAAAUCAAGUCAAGUGAUCUAAAGUGUUUAGUGACUUGAGAGAGGGUGAUUUGUGUUCUAAUUGUUGCUUUUGUUGCUCGAUUGCUUUCUUCUUCUUCUUCUUCGAAUCUUUCCAAGUGUUUUGUAAAGCAAGCAAGAGACACCUAAUUAUGUGGUGAUCCUUACAGGGUCUUAGUGACCCGUGAGAUUAAGAAGAAGCACUCGAUCAGUCUAAGUGACCGAUUGAGAGAGGGAAAGGUUUGAAAUAGACCCGGCCUUUAUGCCCUCCUCAACGGGGAGUAGAUUCUUUGGAACCGAACCUCGGGAAACAAAUCACCGUGUUCACUUGUAUUAAUCUUCACCAUUCAAUUUGUUUCUUCCCUCUACUCUCUCUCUAAAGUUCUCUUGCUCACAUUGUUUUGAGUUAGCUUCCAAUGUUAUCUGCAUUGAUUGAGCAACUCAUUGCAAGGAGAACUAUCUUCCGCACUCCAAAUUCACAAUUAUUUAUUUCUAAUCCUAACCCCGGGUGAAGUGAGUGUUUAAAGUUUAUAAUUUUCAGGUUUUGCCUAUUCACCCCUUCUAGGCGACUUUCAGAAGCAGCAACUUUCUGUCGACGGGUGUGGUGGACAGUCUGAUGCACACCGGACAUGCGUUGUUCACUGCCCGGUGCCCUGCCACGUCAGCCGACUGUUGGGGUCUAUAGUAGUCGACCAUUGGAUCCGACCGUUACCUAGACUGUCUAGUGCACACCAGAUAGUCCGGUGCUACAGCCCGAGACCGCCCGAUGUGGGCCUCUCUACGUAGACUGCCCGAUGUCCCACCGGACAGUCCAGUGCACACCAGACAUGUUACUGUCCACUGUCCGGUGCACCACCAGUGCGCUGGUUGACUGCCCACUUCAUGGAUUUCUUCGUUGUUUCCUUGGGCUUCUUUUGUUCUUGAGUCUUGGACUUCUAUGCUUCUUUUAUGUCUUCUUUUGAGGUGUUGCAUCCUUAGUGCCUUAGUCCAAUCCUCUUCACAUCAUGUGAACUAUAAACAUAAUUAAACACUAGCAAACAUAUUAGUCCACAUGUUAUGUUGAUCAUCAAACACCAAAAUCCCCUUAGCCAAAUGGCCCGGGGUCCAUUUUCCUUACAAUGAGGAGCAUGAAGGAUGCUACGAUGAGUUCGGAGAGGUUUAGGCCGUCGUCUCAUAGUCAACUAUAGUUGCGGAGGAUCGUUGUCGUCAUAUGAUGUAUUUAUUUAGCUAUUUUGUAUAGAACCUCUAUUAUAUAAUAAAUAUGUGACAUUGAUUUUUGUACCAUAAGUCAUCAUAUGUGUGAGACUUGAUCCUAGCACACAUUGAGACGCACUUGGAUCUGUCCUUAAAUCCGGGUGCACCCACCAAGCAAGUCUGCGAAGUGGAGAUCCAAGUCCAACACUAUGAGCCCACGUCGGAUUUGAUAAGAUGUGUCACUACAGGCCGCGACUGGAUAUAUAGGCGACAGACCAAGGGCGUGCCGGGAGGUCGCAAUCAACAUGACUAUACAUCCCCACGUACGGUCUGAGGUGCGCCUCCACUGCCUCAACGGGGCCAGUCGACCUUAGUCAUGGGGGACCUCAACACCGGAGCUUCUACAGUGGGACGUAUAGUGGACGGCACACGGUGGAUACACCAUACCGGGUGUACGCCUACGCACGCCGAUGAGUGACGCGGGCCCGUGAGGACAGGUGAGACUGCACGACGUAUGACUGUGCCAUAUGACUGACCCGCGAGAGCUCCUAUGCACUAUUACGAAGAUGUCAACAAAAGACUCGCUACAGGGACCCGUAUGACGAACGAACAAGACAAUACACCAUGUUGGGAGUACGGUUGCGCACGACCCUAUGGACGACGUUAGAAGGGCUACGCCAUCCAGGAGCGACGAACAUGCCCUUGCUAGCAGAAUACAAGUCUCCAAUGCAAGGUUCUGUCCUUGAGCUAUAAAAUGGCAGGAUCCCUUCUAUCUACACAUGGUCACACCAAUUGUAACACGCCUCUAAGUAAUCUACGAUCAACACUACACUAGACUAAGGUGUGAGCCUGAACCAGUAUAAUCUCUCUGUCUCAAUCCACGUCUGAGUUCUAGCGAUUCAACAUUCAGAGUGAGUUCACUCUAGCACCCCGCCGAACACAAAUCUUAUUAUCUCCGGUUCCGAAACCACGAUAACGAUAACGAGUAUUAAAUAUAGUUUAAUUAUAAAACUAAUUAUAUAGAUGAAGACUAAACUGCGUGACAAAUUUAUUAAGCCUGAUUAAUUUAUGAUUAGCAAAUGUUUAUCGUAACACCACAUAAACGAAUCAUAGACUAAUUACAUUUAAUAAGUUCGUCUUAUCGUUUAGUUCUCAUAUACGUAAUUAGUUUUUAUAAUGAUACUAUAUUUAAUACUUUUAACUAAUAUCUAAAUAUUUGAUAUGACAGAGACUAAAAUUUAGUCAAUUUAACCAAACCAAAACAUUAAAAGGGGUUCAUUCACAUUUUGUCGAGAAACGAACGAGAAUAGUGGUGUUUUAUUAUUAGCGUUUCUCUACAUUAGUAACACACAACUUUUUAUAUUUUUUGGCGCGCCCUUACUUAUGAGCAUUUAUUUAGAAUUAUAUAAUCUAACAAAUUUUGAACUAAUUUGAGAUUAUAAUCAGGAUAAAUUAUAUAAUCUAACAAAUUUUAAAUUAAGAGUAUUUUGUUAGAUUAUAUAAUCUGUUCAGAUUAUAAUGCAAACAAACACCUACUAUACAUAGCAGCAUAGAAGUGGUCAAGUUUUGUGGACCGCUGAGAAACCCAACCAAACUCUAUUUUUUGAAUGGUCAAAAUGGCGUUCUUCUCCGUUGCACACUAUCUCUACGGGCAACCAGACAAAUCUUCGGGUCUCCCAUGUUAUUUAAGGUCACCAUAGGCCCUGCUGCGAAACCAGGAUAGUUUGGCUACCCUCGUCGUCGUCUCACUCACCCCGCCUUCACGCCUCCCUCACCAAAUAAGGUCCCGCCCUUUUCCGACAUUCACAGGGGGGACAGGAAAUCAGCGGCCAUGGCCUCGAUUCCGGCGACGACCUUCGCCGUCAUCUUAUCCGUCCUCUUCUGUGCCGCGGCUGGCACCGCCGUCGACAACGACCUCCCCGACUACGUCAUCCAGGGCCGCGUCUAUUGCGACACCUGCCGCGCCGGGUUCGUGACCAAUGUCACCGAGUACAUCGCGGGCGCCAAGGUGAGGCUGGAGUGCAAGCACUUCGGCACCGGCAAGCUCGAGCGCUCCAUCGACGGGGUGACCGACGGGAACGGCACGUACACGAUCGAGCUCAAGGACAGCCACGAGGAGGACAUCUGCGAGGUGGUCUUGGUGGAGAGCCCGCGCAAGGACUGCGACCAGGUGCAGGCGGACAGGGACCGCGCCGGCGUCCUGCUCACCAGGAACGUCGGCAUCAGCGACAACCUGCGCCCCGCCAACCCGCUCGGCUACCUCAAGGACGUGCCGCUGCCCAUCUGCGCCUCGCUGCUCAAACAGUUGGACUCGGACGACGACGACGAUCAGUAAUAGCACAUCGACGACGACGAUCGAUAUGUAAUAGCACGUCGUCGACGACCGACCGCAGUCGUCGCAGACUGGCUGGCACUAAACCACAAAUCCUCUUCACCUGGAUUACAAAUAUGUAACUGAGAAAGGAAAGGAAAACAAAAAUGUAACUGCGUGGCUGUACCAAAUUCUGAGUGCUGGAUUCUUGCUAUUGUCACCCAUUGUUCGUUUUAUCAUACAAGUUGCAGCGCAGCGCAAGACGGCUAAGGCCUUGUUCGUUUGUGUCGGAUUGCAUCCGGAAUCGUUCCACCUAAUCAAAGUUUAUAUAAAUUAGAGAAGCAAUCCGGUUCGAAAUCAUUCCGACCCACCAAUCCAGUAGAAACGAAUAAGGCCUAAAACAGACAGCAAUACAGCUCUGGUGAAAACAUGCCGACAGAAAUAACCAAUCUAAUGACCUGCGGUUCUGACAGCAAGAUAAAUAUACCAUUUCAUUUCCAUGGGAAAUCAAUAAGUUACAUGGCGUUCAUAAGGACUAAGCACGGCCAAGGUGUAUUUUGCACCUAAAGCACGCACAGCAUAUUGAUUACAUAACAUCUCAUGAAGCGUGCAUUAGUCCUAAGGGGUGCUCGUGGCAAAGCUUGGAUUAUCAAAGAAGAAGAUAGCUAUUCUUCUCUACCACGGCUUCAGAUCUCCCACAGGACCAGCGGUCCAGUUGAGGCGCUGAUCGCCAGGUUGUAAGAACGUACCCUCUGGGUGCGGGAGCUUCCGAGCAAGGCCGUUCAAGAUUUGGUGGAACGCGUCCCUUGGUUGCGCUGGCUGUGGGAACAACAUUGCCUGCUUCAUCGAUGGAUUUGCGAGUAACCUUUGCUUCCUUAAGAUGUCAUCUAUAGGCAUCGACGUGAGGAUCGUGUCAAGCUUUGGGACAUCCUUCUCCUCGACAAAGACGCCGAUUUCCUCCCAUGGGAUCGCGUCCGCAAAUGGAAGCACGAUGUCAUCAGCUAUGAUGACUGGAAUGCAGCCAAAGACCACAGCCUCAACCAACCUAGGGCUCCACGGUGCCCAGCCCAAUGGGCACAGGCAGAAGACAGCGCGCUGCAUGUCUUCAUAGUAAGUGGCAGGGUGGUCUGUGGAAAUGUCAAACAGAGGGUUGCUCUUGAAGUUCUCCCAUAGCGAAGCUCGCGCACCUCUGUAUGACAAUAUUGAAGUGAAUGAAGGUAUCAAACAUACAAGAUUCAAAUCUGUUCAAACUUGAAAAGCAGUUGCUACCUUGCAUAGUAUCCGCCCUCGGGGUCAUUCCCCGUGUCAUAAAAAAGUCCCCGGAAGUAAACGAAGAUUGAGCGUGGAGUGUCUGGGGAAAUCAAGUGAGCUUGCAUUUUCUGCGGAGGAGCAUAGGGUGGAAUAAUGAUGGAACCCUCCUUCAGGCAAACAUGAUUCUCCUGUCCAAAGGUUUGGACCAAUGUAGCACGUCGCAGCAAUGGAAGAAUUCCACGCUCGAUAGCUUUUUCUUCCUGGAAAUGCCGAUACAAUCGUUACACAUACAACUUGUGAGUAAAAUGUAAGUUAAGGCAUUAAAAGGCAAGACUGCACACAAUGAAAAGCAUGGUGAACCUCACCUGAUAGUGGAAGCAUGCUGCAAAAUCAUGCGGAACAACGAAGAAAUGAUCUGCUCCAUCAGUCCUAUUCCAGAAGGGCCAUUUGUUUGAAAUAUAUUGGAUCGCGCUCCUCAUCACCCGUGGUGACUUAAACGGCAAGGGCAGUCCAGCGUUAGUUAAAUCGCAAGUAGUGUAAACUGGUGUAUAGAACCAAUCAGCUUCCUUGGGAUUUAGUGUCCGGACAGCACUCGAGAGCAAGAAACGAUGCAUGAAAAUUUCAGCAGCAAACAUGUGACUGAGGCACCGUGAAUCCUUGGUGACCAUCUUCUUGUUGUACUUCCUUGGUAAGUCAUAAAUGAAGACCUUCAACCUACCCACAGGAUUAUCUUCUAACACAUCACCAGCACUCCCUACAGUUUCAUAAUUGCUGUUUCAGUCCACACAAGCAACACACAUGAACAAAAUAUGAAGUAGACAAAGCAAAACAAUCAUAUGGAGAUUUUUCUACAUAAUAUUGUGAGCAACCUCUCCAUGUAGACUACAUCUAAGGUUACGAUACAAUAGUCUUUUUAAAGUUGAACCAAUUCAUGUCAUUAAGUUGGGCUCAUCUUUGUUUCCAUACCAUUUCAGCCAACCGAACCCAGAUUACCUGUAUACAGCUGCAUAUAAAGAAGACUCAUUUUCCAUGUUUCGAUAUCUGUUAGGAUCAACCUUACAAGUAACAAAAGCAAGAAAUUCUGGUGGACUAAAUGAAGGAGGACACCCAAAAUUAACCCUCAAGUAACAACUAAACGGUGAUUGUGUCACCCACAACUAACUACAAAGACGAUCGAGCUUGAACCUGAAAAUCUUCACGGAGAAAAAGUAAAAAAGAAGGCAAAAAAUGGAAAGCAAAUUCAGGCUGCACUGAUACAGAUUUGUCUAUCGGCCUCAAAGACGUCCUAGUCCACAAGUCUAAUCAACAGCAACAGCUAAGAAUAUUCAGAAAUCACCUAAUCAAUCUCCAACUCCACAGCUACAAGAGAUUAGUAUCACACGGAACGAAGAAAUUAACAGCUACGUAGGCCUCGGAUUCCAAGGCAGGCUACGAGAAGCAACACGUCGAAGGGUAGGGGAAAAAUCAAGUUCCUAAAUCACACCAGAAUCAACUUCGGAAAUUAAGAGGGGAAGAAGGUGGGGCACCUGAGAUGCGCUCGCUAUGCUGCUGAACGGCGUGUUCGGCCUCGCCGCCUCCGGCGGCGGCGGCGGCGACCGGCGGCCAGAGGGCAGAGUCGGCCAACAGCAGGAGGGCCACGGGGAACCACCCCUUUCUUGAUCCCAUCCCAGAAGACCUCUCCGGCCUCGACCUCCCGCAGCAAAGAGAGAGCUUGGCAAGGGGAUUGGAUUUAGGAAUUCGGUAAACAGAAGCAGGUUGGGGAAACUAAGGAGAGAUUUUGUUAGGGAACGUAUCUCGUGCUCAGGCGAUGUCCGUGCUCAUGUGAGCACUUUAAAUCGUGAGUGUUCCUUUUUAAUCCAACGAUUAGUGUUUUUUAUUCACUUAAGUCCUCUCACCUCAACGAUGAGUGUUCCUGAUCAGCAGCCUGAUCGUUGGAUUAAGAAGAAACACUCAUGAUUUAAAGUGCUCACAUGAGCACGGACGUCGCGUGAGCACGAGAUACGUUCCCAUUUUGUUAACGAGGAAGAGGGGACCGGGGAGGAGAGGAGAGAAUGGGUCCUUCCCUGCGACUGCGAGUCUGCGACCAGUCCACAGUUAUCAAACGGAAACACCUAUUUUUUUUCUCCUUCUGAGUCAUAGUUUUGAAAUAAGGUUGAACUAGAGGUGUUUACCUAUCUAGUGACAUUUUUUAAUAUACUAGAGCUAAUAGUUAGUUAGAUAAAAAAUUACGAAUAAAAUUAGCUAGCUAACAAAUAACUAGCUAACUAUUAGCUAGUUUGCUAAAAAUAACUAAUAAUUAAACUAAUAGAUAAGAUGUUUGGAUAUCUUCAGUUAAUUUUAUCAAUUACUCUGUCCAUAUGUUUUAGUUGUUUUAGUCUAUCAUAAUUCAAAUUAUUUUAACUUUAACCAAUAAUAUAUAUAAGAUUAAAUUAUUUUAAGCUAAAAAGAAUUACAUAUUAUGGUAGUUUAAUUUUAUGUUGUAAAAUCUUAUGAACAUUUGAUAUAUUCAAAUAAAAUUAAUAGUGGUUAACUUAGAAUAAAUCUAAAACGAUUAAAUCAUGUGGAGAGAGAUAGAGUAACUAUUAGCUUAGUGUAAGGUUAUGGUCUUGAACUCUUGACUGAGCAAGUUCGUUACCCGAAAAAAAAUUAUAAUCUCUACUACUUAUUAAGGCAGUAAAGGGUAGACUGUCAUUUCGUGUUCUGCCUUUCUAUUCCCCCCUCCCCGCACCAUUCUCUGCCAUUCUCAUUUUUUCCCAUUCCCACGUAGUCUCCAAGAGGAUUUGAACCCGCGACCCCUCAAGCAAUUGUGCUCGUAGCUACCACUACACCACAUGUGUGUUUAUGUCUACAUCUAUUACAGUAAAAACAUCUACUACAUCUCUUCUGAAGCCCACCUGCUACGCUUGCACAAUGUGUAGUAGUAGAUAAGUAUCACCGAGAUUCUUGAAUUAUAUUUUUGGAUGCAGGGAGUAGUAUUUAAAAAAGAGCCUUGCAUGCAGUUUCUUUUGUUUGAAUAAUAUUUUCAACUUAAAUUUCUUUUUUUGCAUGUGUGACAUUUAUUCUCCGUAAUAUUUUUCUAUGAAUCUGACUUGUGAGUCGUUUUCAUAAACCAACGCCAAAAUGAAUACAUGUUUCUUACUUGGAAACUCCGAACAAACACCACUAGCAGGAGGCGCUCGCGUUGGCGUCGCUCAUCGACGACAAGAAGAAGCUUGACGACUGUCAGUUCGACCUCUGGAAGCAGUCCUGCGUGGCCGCAUGUGCCGCUGUGUACGGUAAGCUCCGGCGCAGCCGCCGCUUGGACACGGUCCAGAGCGGCCGCACCGCGCUGUCCAUCGUUAAAUAGGGGGACCUCAUGGUCGUCGCCAACGCCAGCAACUCUCGGGUUGUUCUGGGCACCGCAUCCAACGACGGCGUCAUCACGCCGUCGAGCUCAUCAUCCACCUGAAGCCCAACCUAUCAUGUAAGUUGCUACUUACCGGCCAUGAAUUCUUGUGCGCUGGGACGACGGUCGUUGCUGACGUUGUCUGAGUGUCCUCGAACAAGAUUAAUGUAGAGGAGUAGCACAUCUAGUGGUGCAACGGCCAGGUGUAUUACCUUGCUGAUGAGCCCGGAGUGCACUUCGUUUGGCAGCCCAGCCAAGAGUCAUCGGUACUCGCCAUAUCGCGCGCGUUCGAUGUCUACUAUAUCAAGGACUGUGGCGUCAUCUCGGCGCCGGAGGGGACGUAGAGGAGGACCGACAGCAAUGACCACUCGCCAUCGUCGGGGUAGCUUUUUGUGUCGGCCUGUCUUUAAUUCUCUUCGCAAACACACACACACUUGCCUUUUUGUUUAAGCAAGCGUGUAUGGUGGUGUGUGCUUGAUGACUAACGAUGUACGAGGAAACUUCUACCGGCAGGUAUGGCACGUGCUCUCCAAUGAUGAGACCAUGCAAAUCGUGGUAUAUAUCGAAGACUGCAUGAUACUGAUGGUUGCAUUGUAGUAGUGAAACAACUAAAUUAAAAUAACAAAAUUUAUGUAUGGCUAGGAUUACAAAUGGAUUAUGAAACAUUUUCUUAUAACAAUAUAAGACACAUUUUGUAUAUAAAUUAUCAUGGUAUUAUAUGUUCCUCUUGCAACGCACGGGCACUCACCUAGUGAUCGCUGAAGGCUGGUAAAACUGGAUAGGGCCCCUUGAAUCACCGGUAAUAUUUGUCUAAAUCCUAUAUUUUUUCUAUAAAAAAAUGAUUCAUAAUAAUUUUCAUUAAAUUCCUGAGUCCAUGUUUAAACAUGAUUUUAUUUUUAAGUAUUUGACUGAACCAAGGUCAAACUAAAAAAAACCAUCGCGGCAGCAUCUGGCUAAAAAAUAUUUUGCAAAUUGCUACUACUGCCAAUAAUAACUAUCACUGUAGUUUGAACUUACUUUCAAACUCUCGUUUGGUUGUUUGAUUUUUGAUAAUUAAUGGCAGUAUUUUGUUGAAGUAAGUGCACCCAUGAAGAAGAAAGGAUAAGACCAUGUGAAAGUCGCCUAGAGGGAGGUGAAUAGGCGGAAUCUGAAAUUUACAAACUUAAGCACACACUACAAGUCGGGGUUAGCGUUAGAAUUAAAUUCAAGUCCGAAGGAGAGGGAAAAAACUCAACAAAGAAAUAAAGCGGAUGAACACGGUGAUUUGUUUUACCGAGGUUCGGUUCUUGCAAACCUACUCCCCGUUGAGGUGGUCACAAAAACCGGGUCUCUUUCAACCAUUUCCCUCUCUCAAACGGUCACUUAGACCGAGUGAGCUCUCUUUAAUCAAAUGGGACACUUAGUCCACUACAAGGACCACCACAACUUGGUGUCUCUUGCUUUGAUUACAAGUGAGUUGGAAACAAGAAUAGAGGAAGAAGAAAAGCGAUCCAAGCGCAAGAGCACAAAAGUCUCUCUCUCUAGUCACUAAUUUGUUUGGAGUGAUUCCGGACUUGGAGAGGAUUUGAUCUCUUUGUUUGUAUCUUGAAAUAAAGUCUAGAGCUCUUGUAUGAGGUUUGAUGGCUGAAAACUUGGAUGCAUUGAAGCGUGGUGGUUGGGGGUAUUUAUAGCCCCAACCACCAAAAUGGCGUUGGUGAGGGCUUCUGUCGUAUGGCGCACCGGACAGUUCGGUGCGCCAGCCACGUCACCAAGCCGUUGAGUUCCGACCGUUGGAGCUCUGACAUGUGGGGCCACCGGACAGUCCGGUGGUGCACCGGACAGUCAUUGUUCACUGUCCGGUGCGCCUUCUGGCACCGCUCUGGCUCUGCGCGCGUAGUCGCGCACUGUUCACUGUUCCUGUAGCUUUUGCAGACGACCGUUGGCGCAGAUAGCCUUUACCCCGCUGGCACACCGGACAGUCCGGUGAAUUAUAGCAGAGUGGCUCCCCAAAUUCCCGAAGCUAGCGAGUUGGAGGGAAUCCACCCUGGUGCACCGAACACUGUCCGGUGGCACACCGGAUGGUCCGGUGCGCCAGACCAGGGAAGCCUUCAGUUGCUUUGCUCCUUUCUUUUUGAACCCUUACUUUGAACUUUUUAUUGGUUUGUGUUGAACCUUUGGCACCUGUAGAACUUAUAAUCUAGAGCAAACUAGUUAGUCCAAUUGUUUGUGUUGGGCAAUUCAACCACCAAAAUCAUUUAGGAAAAAGUGUGAGCCUAUUUCCCUUUCAAUCUCCCCCUUUUUGGUGAUUGAUGCCAACACAAACCAAAGCAAAUAUAUAAGUGCAGAAUUGAACUAGUUUGCAUAAUAUAAGUGCAAAGGUUACUUGGAAUUAAACCAAUAUUCAUUUCAUAAGAUAUGCAUGGGUGCUUUCUUCUAAUUUAACAUUUUGGACCACGCUUGCACCACUUGUUUUGUUUUUGCAAAUGUUUUGGAAAUUCUUUUUCAAAGUCUUUUGCAAAUAGUCAAAGGUAUAUGAAUAAGAUUUUGAGAAGCAUUUUCAAGAUUUGAAAUGUUCUCCCCCUGUUUCAAAUGCUUUUCUUUUGACUAAAUAAAACUCCCCCUCAAUGAAAUUCUCCUCUUAGUGUUCAAGAGGGUUUUAGAUAUUAAUUUUGAAAGGGGUCCAAUUUGAAAUUAUAUCAACACUAAGAUAUCAAUUGAAAAACUUCUUUUACAAAUUGAAAGAACACAUUUUUUUUUGAAAUUGGUGGUGGUGCGAUCCUUUUGUUUUGGGCUAAUACUUUCUCCCCCUUUGGCAUGAAUCGCCAAAAACGGAUACUUGUGAGUGAAAUAUAAGCCCUUUGUCAAACAGUCUCCCCUUUGGUAGAUAAUAUAGGAGUGAAGAUUAUACCAAAUUGGAGAGCGGUGUGGAGCGACGGAGAAGGAUGAAUAAUUUGAUGGAGUGGAGUGGAAGCCUUAUCUUCGCCGAAGAUUCCAUUUCCCUUUCAAUCUGUAUAUGAGCAAUGUGUGCAAAAUAUCAUAGAAAAGAGAUUAUCAAAGGUAUAUAUAUGAGCAAUGUGUGCAAAAUAUCAAUCAAAAUUCCUAGAAUCAAGAAUGUUUAGCUCAUGCCUAAGUUUGGUAAAGGUUUUCUCAUCUAAAGGCUUGGUAAAUAUAUCGGCUAAUUGUUCUUUGGUGCUAACAUAUGCAAUCUCGAUAUCCUCCCGUUGUUGGUGAUCCCUCAAAAAGUGAUACCGAAUGGCUAUGUGCUUAGUGCGGCUUUGCUCAACGGGAUUAUCCGCCAUGCGGAUUGCACUCUCAUUAUCACAUAGAAGAGGAACUUUGGUUAAUUUGUAACCAUAGUCCCUAAGGGUUUGCCUCAUCCAAAGCAAUUGCGCGCAACAAUGGCCUGCUGCAAUAUACUCGGCUUCGGCAGUAGAAAGAGCUACAAAAUUUUGUUUCUUUGAAGCCCAAGACACCAGGGAUCUUCCCAAGAACUGACAAGUCCCUGAUGUGCUCUUCCUAUCAAUCUUACACCCUGCCCAAUCAGCAUCUGAAUAUCCUAUUAAAUCAAAAGUGGAUCCCCUGGGGUACCAAAGGCCAAACUUAGGAGUUUGAACUAAAUAUCUCAAGAUUCGUUUUAUGGCCCUAAGGUGAACUUCCUUAGGAUCGGCUUGGAAUCUUGCACACAUGCAUACGGAAAGCAUAAUAUCCGGUCGAGAUGCACAUAAAUAGAGUAAGGAUC